This is a long non-coding RNA of Etheostoma cragini (Arkansas darter), 99 nucleotides long. RefSeq lists it as uncharacterized. Lineage: Eukaryota; Metazoa; Chordata; Actinopteri; Perciformes; Percidae. The record is from RefSeq and is a predicted model, not a curated record. The transcript is spliced from 3 exons.
UGGGAGUAAAGCGUUAGAAAAGUAACGCAAUUACAGUAAUGUAUUCCUUUUUGCUGUAAUGCCUUAAUAUAACGCAUUACUAAUAAAAUGGCAGUAAUA